RNAcentral lists this ribosomal RNA (872 nucleotides) under uncultured Coprobacillus sp. Its description in RNAcentral is "bacterial SSU rRNA". It matches the Rfam family "Bacterial small subunit ribosomal RNA", at positions 9 to 873 of the family's 1533-position model. The record is from RNAcentral. Lineage: Bacteria; Bacillati; Bacillota; Erysipelotrichia; Erysipelotrichales; Coprobacillaceae.
UAGAGUUUGAUCCUGGCUCAGGAUGAACGCUGGCGGCGUGCCUAAUACAUGCAAGUCGAACGCAUCACGAAAGUGAUGAGUGGCGAACGGGUGAGUAAUACAUAAGCAACCUGGCAUCUACAGGGGGAUAACUGAUGGAAACGUCAGCUAAGACCGCAUAGGUGUAGAGAUCGCAUGAACUCUAUAUGAAAAGUGCUACGGGACUGGUAGAUGAUGGACUUAUGGCGCAUUAGCUGGUUGGUAGGGUAACGGCCUACCAAGGCGACGAUGCGUAGCCGACCUGAGAGGGUGACCGGCCACACUGGGACUGAGACACGGCCCAGACUCCUACGGGAGGCAGCAGUAGGGAAUUUUCGGCAAUGGGGGAAACCCUGACCGAGCAACGCCGCGUGAAGGAAGAAGUAAUUCGUUAUGUAAACUUCUGUCAUAGAGGAAGAACGGUGGAUAUAGGGAAUGAUAUCCAAGUGACGGUACUCUAUAAGAAAGCCACGGCUAACUACGUGCCAGCAGCCGCGGUAAUACGUAGGUGGCGAGCGUUAUCCGGAAUUAUUGGGCGUAAAGAGGGAGCAGGCGGCACUAAGGGUCUGUGGUGAAAGAUCGAAGCUUAACUUCGGUAAGCCAUGGAAACCGUAGAGCUAGAGUGUGUGAGAGGAUCGUGGAAUUCCAUGUGUAGCGGUGAAAUGCGUAGAUAUAUGGAGGAACACCAGUGGCGAAGGCGACGAUCUGGCGCAUAACUGACGCUCAGUCCCGAAAGCGUGGGGAGCAAAUAGGAUUAGAUACCCUAGUAGUCCACGCCGUAAACGAUGAGUACUAAGUGUUGGGAGUCAAAUCUCAGUGCUGCAGUAACGCAAUAAGUACUCCGCCUGAUAGUC